GCAAGUCUACUUGAUCCUUCGGGUGAUGGUGGCGGACGGGUGAGUAACGCGUAAAGAACUUGCCCUGCAGUCUGGGACAACAUUUGGAAACGAAUGCUAAUACCGGAUAUUAUGUGAGUUUCGCAUGAAAUUCAUAUGAAAGCUAUAUGCGCUGCAGGAGAGCUUUGCGUCCUAUUAGCUAGUUGGUGAGGUAACGGCUCACCAAGGCGAUGAUAGGUAGCCGGCCUGAGAGGGUGAACGGCCACAAGGGGACUGAGACACGGCCCUUACUCCUACGGGAGGCAGCAGUGGGGAAUAUUGGACAAUGGACCAAAAGUCUGAUCCAGCAAUUCUGUGUGCACGAUGAAGUUUUUCGGAAUGUAAAGUGCUUUCAGUUGGGACGAAGUAAGUGACGGUACCAACAGAAGAAGCGCCGGCUAACUACGUGCCAGCAGCC
RNAcentral lists this ribosomal RNA (436 nucleotides) under uncultured bacterium. RNAcentral describes it as "bacterial SSU rRNA". It matches the Rfam family "Bacterial small subunit ribosomal RNA", at positions 57 to 516 of the family's 1533-position model. The record is from RNAcentral.